This 417-nucleotide ribosomal RNA is filed under the name Sepioteuthis australis. RNAcentral's name for it is "partial 12S rRNA". The record is from RNAcentral. Lineage: Eukaryota; Metazoa; Mollusca; Cephalopoda; Myopsida; Loliginidae.
AUACCAAUAUUUCGAGUUUAUAUUAAAAUAGUAUAAAAUAAAGUGAUUUUUAAAGGGAUUAGAACUGUUGAGUGCAAUAAUUGUUGGUAAAAUCUAAUUUUUGUUAUUUAUUUCAUUGUUCUAAAUAAUAAUCUUUGAAAGCAAGACUGAAAACUAGGAUUAGAGACCCUAUUAUUCUUAUUUUAAAAUUUUUUUGUACUUGAGUAGUAAGAGUAGGAUAAGCUGUUUUAAUCUUUCUAUGAUACUUGAAACUUAAAAGGCUUGGCGGUGUUAUAUAUCCUUCCAGGGGAGCCUGUUUAUUAAUUUGAUAAUCCACAAUUUAUACUUACUUUUUUUUGAAUUUUACAGCUUGUGUAUUGCUGUCGUCAGUUUAUUUCGUAAGAAGGUUAUAAAAAACUUUAUAAUGUAGUAGUUAUG